ACUUUGCCUGCGCCCACCCGGAACCAGCAGUUCUCCAAGCACCCAGCAUCCAGCAAGAUGCACUGUGCACCAACGGAGUCAUGUUCUUCUCUUACUUUAAAGUCUUCAGGGCACUGCCUUGCCCACAGGACCGAUAUGGUUUGAAUCUGUGUCCCCACCCAAAUCUCAUGUGGAAUUGUAAUCUCCAGUGUUGGAGGUGGGGCCUGGUAGAAGGUGAUUUGAUCACGGGGCAGAUUUCUCACAAAUGGCUUAGCACCAUCCCCUUGGUACUAUCCUCACGAUAGUGAGUGAGUCUUGGGAGAUGUGGAUGUUUAACGUGUAGCACCUCCUCCUCCUCUUUUGCUCCUGCUCUGGCCACGUGACAUGCCUGUGCCCCCUUCGCCUUCCGCCAUGAUUGUUAAGUUUCCUGAGGCCUCCCCAGAAGCCAAGCAGACAACAGCAUCAUGCUUCCUG
Molecule: long non-coding RNA, 453 nt
Filed under: Homo sapiens (human)
Lineage: Eukaryota; Metazoa; Chordata; Mammalia; Primates; Hominidae
Description: HSALNT0293750
Source: RNAcentral